Molecule: long non-coding RNA, 313 nt
Organism: Lemur catta (Ring-tailed lemur)
Lineage: Eukaryota; Metazoa; Chordata; Mammalia; Primates; Lemuridae
Exons: 3
Source: RefSeq, a predicted model, not a curated record
AAGAAAAAGGUCUUGAAUGCCAGAGAUAGAAAGAAGAGGACUGCUCUCCAUUUGGCCUGUGCCAGUGGCCAUCCAGAAGUAGUUACUGUCCUGGUGGACAGAAAAUGCAAGCUCAAUGUCCCCGACAGUGAAAAAAGGACAGCUCUGAUUAAGGCGGUACAAUGCCUGGAAGAGGAGUGUGCCACCAUCCUGUUAGAACACGGUGCCGAUCCGAAUCACAGUGACGUGUAUGGCAACACAGCUCUUCACUAUGCUGUCUAUGGCGACAACCCAUCGAUCGCAGCAAAGCUCCUUUCACAUGGCGCAAAUAAAG